This is a long non-coding RNA of Sphaerodactylus townsendi, 856 nucleotides long. RefSeq lists it as uncharacterized. The transcript has 5 exons. The record is from RefSeq and is a predicted model, not a curated record. Lineage: Eukaryota; Metazoa; Chordata; Lepidosauria; Squamata; Sphaerodactylidae.
AUAUUUUGCUCUUGCUUCCACCGGUACAACAAUUCCCUUAGCUCUAAGUAGGCUGGAAGACUGUGAUAUUACUCAUUUUCACCUCCCGCUUCAAGACAGCCCAAUCUGUGGAUGAAGGAUAGUUGGGUGACAGAGACAGCACAGGUACGCCAUCUCCACAGAGGUUCCCAGUGGCAUGAAGAGUUUUCUUCAGGAUGCAUGAUCAGAUGAACUUAAUUAUGCAUCUUCAUCUGGCUAAUGUCUUGCAACAGAUGGAUUUCAAGGGAAAGAUUCUCUCAAAAUAAUCCAACAGACAUCAGAAAGAGGAUUGUCAUAAAGUUUUGAGACAAGUUAAGUAAUGGACUACAUUUUUGCUUUCUGCAAUAUUUGAACAGGAAGAAACUCCAUCUCCCUAGAACUGUAGGAAAAAAACCCUCUGAACACGCCUCAAGAGCUAAAAUUCCAGUCUUCCUUCAUAGUUUCUUGGAGGUCUUUUCUGUCUAAUUUCAUAUUUUGUAAUCUGUUUUGAGUCUCAGUGAAAAAGGCGGGCUAUAAAUGAAGUUAUAUUAUUAUCAUGAUCAAAUUCUUUUGUGAUAGCACCACUACUAUUGAAGAUGUAGCUGUCUCUAUCAAUGUCUAAUUGCAUUUUUAGAAAAGGUUCUUAAGCGUAAAGAUGUGUUACUGACAGUCAGGAUCAAGUUAAUUUAUGCAUAGUUGCAGGUAGUAUGGGAAGUACAAGUACUAUUAUUAUAUACUAUUGUGUACUAGUACUGUUAUUAUGUUUGGAUGUGAAAGUUAGUGAGGGAAGCUGAUAGGAAGAAAGUUGAUUCCUUUGGAAUGUGGUGCUGGAUGAGAGUUUUAAGGAUACCAUGGACCA